UGGGGAAUCUUGGACAAUGGGCGCAGGCCUGAUCCAGCCAUGCCGCGUGCAGGAUGACGGUCCUAUGGAUUGUAAACUGCUUUUGUACAGGAAGAAACAGUUCUACGUGUAGAACCUUGACGGUACUGUAAGAAUAAGGAUCGGCUAACUCCGUGCCAGCAGCCGCGGUAAUACGGAGGAUCCAAGCGUUAUCCGGAAUCAUUGGGUUUAAAGGGUCCGUAGGCGGUUAGAUAAGUCAGUGGUGAAAGCCCAUCGCUCAACGGUGGAACGGCCAUUGAUACUGUCUGACUUGAAUUAUUAGGAAGUAACUAGAAUAUGUAGUGUAGCGGUGAAAUGCUUAGAGAUUACAUGGAAUACCAAUUGCGAAGGCAGGUUACUACUAAUGGAUUGACGCUGAUGGACGAAAGCGUGGGUAGCGAACAGGAUUAGAUACCCAAGUAGUCCCUGAGCGGGCUGGCAAGGCGCAU
Molecule: ribosomal RNA, 467 nt
Filed under: uncultured bacterium
Lineage: Bacteria
Description: bacterial SSU rRNA
Rfam family: Bacterial small subunit ribosomal RNA
Source: RNAcentral